GAUGAACGCUAGCGGCAGGCUUAACACAUGCAAGUCGAGGGGCAGCGUGGCGGAGUGCUUGCACACCGCUGACGGCGACCGGCGCACGGGUGAGUAACACGUAUGCAACCUGCCCUCUUCAGGGGGACAACCUUCCGAAAGGGAGGCUAAUCCCGCGUAUAUCCCCCGGGGGCAUCCCCGGGGGAGGAAAGAAUCAUCGGAAGAGGAUGGGCAUGCGGCGCAUUAGCCAGACGGCGGGGUAACGGCCCACCGUAGCGACGAUGCGUAGGGGUUCUGAGAGGAAGGUCCCCCACAUUGGGACUGAGAUACGGCCCAG
RNAcentral lists this ribosomal RNA (316 nucleotides) under uncultured bacterium. Its description in RNAcentral is "bacterial SSU rRNA". It matches the Rfam family "Bacterial small subunit ribosomal RNA", at positions 28 to 334 of the family's 1533-position model. The record is from RNAcentral.